GGAAGAGAAGGAGGAGGAGGAGGAGGAGGAGAAAGUGGCUCUCAGCGGCCGGUCGGAUUAAAAGUAACCAGACUCGUCCAGAAAACUGCGUCCAGGAAGGAAGUGACAGAAGACGAAUGGGAAAAGGAGAACAGCUCACAGCGUUUGAAACAUCGCGGCACCACUUUCAGAUAAAAACAUAGACCUGAAUGGCAUCAUCCAGUAUCCAAGGAAACCAUGCUUGCUUGAAGAGUGAGCAGGUGAGCAAAGAGACAAGAUUACAUGUUUAAACCAAGAAAAGAAUCUUGAAAAAGCAUUGAAAAGAACAACUUUCAAGUCAAAAGAAUCAAGGUGAAGAGAAUGGAUACUCAUGCCCAUGUGAAUUUGCUGCCCCAAGUCUACUGGAGGAUCAAGCUGCAGGUUUCAAUAGCUAUAGCCUGAAGAAUCUCUGUAAUGAACUAAAACAAUCAGUAAAAGAUCAGUUGCAGUGGAAGACAUUAUACUCUAGAUUUUUCUAGUAUUAUUAAAUUUGAAAAUGAUUUAUUCCAAAUUUUAACUUAGCUUUUAAUUUUACUAGUGUCAAAAUGUUGUACUACUUUGGACAACUGAUUUUUCCAAUAGAGAGUCAAUAGCAUCUUUGCAGGGUGGUUUAAAAGCCAAUAAUUUAAUCCAUAUUCUACUAAAACUUUUAAUAUAAGCAUUUUACCCAGAUGUAUUUUUUCCUUGUUUUAGAAAAUCUGAUUUUAAUUGCUAAAACUCGUUUUUAAAUAUUAAUUCAAUGAAAGAAAUGCUAUGGUUUUCUACUUUUUCAUUUCUUAAACUCAAGGGAAAACAUGGGUGAAAAACAAAAAAUUGUUCUGCAUAGAGUCUUCUUUAAUGUCUCACUUUGGUGAUGUAUGAAAUAAAAACCAAAUUGUUUUAACCAGCUAAAAA
RNAcentral lists this long non-coding RNA (912 nucleotides) under Homo sapiens (human). RNAcentral's name for it is "non-protein coding MEF2C-AS1:53". The record is from RNAcentral. Lineage: Eukaryota; Metazoa; Chordata; Mammalia; Primates; Hominidae.